This 131-nucleotide ribosomal RNA is filed under the name Meiothermus taiwanensis. RNAcentral describes it as "partial 16S ribosomal RNA". It matches the Rfam family "Bacterial small subunit ribosomal RNA", at positions 1409 to 1533 of the family's 1533-position model. The record is from RNAcentral. Lineage: Bacteria; Thermotogati; Deinococcota; Deinococci; Thermales; Thermaceae.
AGUGGGUUUUGCCUGAAGUCGCCGGGAGCCACAGGCAGGCGCCUAGGGUAAGGCUCAUGACUGGGGCUAAGUCGUAACAAGGUAGCUGUACCGGAAGGUGCGGCUGGAUCACCUCCUUUCUAAGGAGCAUA